AUACUUACCUGGACAGGGUCAAUGGGCGAUCAAUAAGACCCAUGGCCUAGGUUGGUGACCUCCAUUGCACUUUGGAGGGGUGCUCGCCUAAGGUCGACCCAAGUGGUCGAGCCUACGUCAUAAUUUGUGGCAGCGGGGGCCUGCGUCCGCGCGGCCCCUAC
Molecule: small nuclear RNA, 161 nt
Organism: Nicotiana attenuata
Lineage: Eukaryota; Viridiplantae; Streptophyta; Magnoliopsida; Solanales; Solanaceae
Rfam family: U1 spliceosomal RNA
About the family: U1 is a small nuclear RNA (snRNA) component of the spliceosome (involved in pre-mRNA splicing).
Source: Rfam